RNAcentral lists this ribosomal RNA (395 nucleotides) under uncultured Mesoplasma sp. Its description in RNAcentral is "bacterial SSU rRNA". It matches the Rfam family "Bacterial small subunit ribosomal RNA", at positions 101 to 482 of the family's 1533-position model. Lineage: Bacteria; Bacillati; Mycoplasmatota; Mollicutes; Entomoplasmatales; Entomoplasmataceae. The record is from RNAcentral.
AACGGGUGAGUAACACGUAUCUAAUCUACCUUUUAGUGGGGGAUAACCCUUGGAAACGAAGGAUAAUACCGCAUAAGAUCUUCAUUAUGACAUCAGAAGAAGAGGAAAGAUCCGUUUGGAUCGCUAAAAGAUGAGGAUGCGGCGUAUUAGUUAGUAGGCGGGGUAAAGGCCCACCUAGACGAUGAUACGUAGCCGAACUGAGAGGUUGAUCGGCCACAUUGGGACUGAGAUACGGCCCAGACUCCUACGGGAGGCAGCAGUAGGGAAUUUUUCACAAUGGACGAAAGUCUGAUGAAGCAAUGCCGCGUGAGUGAUGAAGGUCUUCGGAUUGUAAAGCUCUGUUGUAAGGGAAGAAUAAGCCAGGAAGGAAAUGUCUUGGUGAUGACGGUACCUUA